CUCUGCAUAGUUUUCAUUUCAGCUCAAAGUUCAUUUAAAUCAGACCCAGCCUUGGGCAUCUGAGCUAUAAAAACUUCUUCAUUUGUGACCUCACAGAUUUUUGAAGAGAUGAAAAAAUUAUUUGAGCCUCAACUUGGCCAUGCUAAUUGCCUGCCUUUAACAGGCAACUAUCUGUAGUCCUGAGUCAAGCACCUGCUUGAAUGAGACAAUU
This is a long non-coding RNA of Nothoprocta perdicaria, 211 nucleotides long. RefSeq lists it as uncharacterized. Lineage: Eukaryota; Metazoa; Chordata; Aves; Tinamiformes; Tinamidae. The transcript has 2 exons. The record is from RefSeq and is a predicted model, not a curated record.